Molecule: ribosomal RNA, 257 nt
Filed under: uncultured bacterium
Lineage: Bacteria
Description: partial 16S ribosomal RNA
Rfam family: Bacterial small subunit ribosomal RNA
Source: RNAcentral
CACGUAGGGCGCGAGCGUUGUCCGGAAUUAUUGGGCGUAAAGAGCUCGUAGGCGGCCUGUUGCGUCCGCUGUGAAAGCCCCGGGGCUUAACCCCCGGGGUCGGCAGUGGAUACGGGCAGGCUAGAGGUAGGUAGGGGAGAAUGGAAUUCCCGGUGUAGCGGUGAAAUGCGCAGAUAUCGGGAAGAACACCCCGUGGCGAAGGCGGCUCUCUGGAACGCAACUGACGCUGAGACGCGAAAGCGUGGGGAGCAAACAGG